Molecule: long non-coding RNA, 532 nt
Organism: Gymnodraco acuticeps
Lineage: Eukaryota; Metazoa; Chordata; Actinopteri; Perciformes; Bathydraconidae
Exons: 3
Source: RefSeq, a predicted model, not a curated record
UGAAACUGAAGCAACUGGCAGAUAAAGGGCUUCUUCAACCUACGCAAUGAGAUCAUCAAUGAUGAGCUACCUGUUGGAGAGACCCUGGAACGCUGGCCUGCCUUGACAAUGGAGUCACAGAUUUGUGCAGAGUUUCACAGGAUAACGAACCUCAACCUGAAGAACCACUUUUACGCGGAGUUGGAUCGGCAUGCUGUUGAGCUUGUUCAGGAAGAAGGCGCCACGCAAAGACGAAGUGUCUGAAGUUCAGCUCUUCACCGCCUAUGACCUCCAGGUGAGUCGGUUAAGCCUCUUGGUGUUUUAAUAUCAUACUAGAGUGGAUUUUCUGUGUGUGUUGGGGGGCGGGGGGUCAGCCUGAUAGAUUUAGAUUUAUUAUUAAGAUACUUGUGUUUGGGGAGGGAACAGCAGUGUUAAUGUUAUUGCACCUUGUUGUUGUGCUAAUGAGAUACAGGUGGGAUCGCAGACGCCUCAAUUGCUUCAAAAUGGUAAUCUCUUCAGUCAUGGAAGAGCCCUUGUGAUAUAAAUUGUUGUG